RNAcentral lists this ribosomal RNA (499 nucleotides) under uncultured bacterium. RNAcentral's name for it is "bacterial SSU rRNA". It matches the Rfam family "Bacterial small subunit ribosomal RNA", at positions 30 to 526 of the family's 1533-position model. The record is from RNAcentral.
AUUGAACGCUGGCGGAAUGCUUUACACAUGCAAGUCGAACGGCAGCACGGGGGCAACCCUGGUGGCGAGUGGCGAACGGGUGAGUAAUGCAUCGGAACGUACCCAAUCGUGGGGGAUAACGUGGCGAAAGUCACGCUAAUACCGCAUACGUCCUGAGGGAGAAAGCAGGGGAUCGCAAGACCUUGCGCGAUUGGAGCGGCCGAUGUCUGAUUAGCUAGUUGGCAGGGUAACGGCCUACCAAGGCUACGAUGUUUAGGGGACCUGAGAGGGUUAUCCCCCACACUGGUACUGAGACACGGACCAGACUCCUACGGGAGGCAGCAGUGAGGAAUAUUGGUCAAUGGGCGCAAGCCUGAACCAGCCAUCCCGCGUGAAGGAAGAAGGCGCUAUGCGUUGUAAACUUCUUUUCCAGGGGUGAAUAAUUCCGAUGUAUCGGGAGAUGACGGUACCCUGGGAAUAAGCAUCGGCUAACUCCGUGCCAGCAGCCGCGGUAAAAGUC